This 594-nucleotide long non-coding RNA is filed under the name Chinchilla lanigera (long-tailed chinchilla). RNAcentral's name for it is "lncRNA (ENSCLAG00000026969.1)". Lineage: Eukaryota; Metazoa; Chordata; Mammalia; Rodentia; Chinchillidae. The record is from RNAcentral.
GCUACAUCACUGGUAUUUUACAUCUGGGUUUAUUUUCCCUUUAAGGAACUGAAUCUCUGGACCGCUGGGCACAAUCCCUGAGCAAGCUGACAGUAAUUCCAAAUAGCUAAUUCCUUUCCUCUCUCACCACACUAAUGUAAUCAGGUUUUUUGAUAUAUAUUGUUUUGCUUAUUUCAUGCUUGUAUGAUAUAAUUCUUGCAUUGGAUUUCAACUGAUUUUCUUAGUCAUGUGGAGAUGAGUUGUUAUUUUCAUGCUAUUAGAAGCUAUGUCGAAUAACAUGUACUUUUUCUGAAUAUCAGUUUGCAGUUGAAUGACAUAUGUGUUUGGGAAAACAUAAUGUCACUUAUUAAACAACACAUCUCUGGUGCCAAAUUAUCAGCAGAAAGUGAAGGAAAACUUGUCUAUAUUUUACCCUUAGAAGCGACCCAUAGAUUUCCAGAAAAAGAAAAAGAAAAAAGAAAGGACUUUGAGAACUGCUUCAGAAAGUGGCAAGGAAGAUGGAAUAAGUGUGUUCAAAGCAAGGCAGAAUAUUUGGAAGCUGGUAAUGAACUUUAUAAGGAUUUUUAUAAGGAACUGUCCUGGCCUGGGAAUUGA